CCUGCCCCAGAGACAUUGCAAGUGUGGCUGCUGUACCACUUGUUGUCGCUAGGUGGCAGAGAGGAGAGGGGAUAUGAAUACGCUUAGUGUUCACUAAGAACAUCUGAAUGAUUAGUAGCCUAACAUU
Small nucleolar RNA from Grammomys surdaster, 127 nucleotides. RefSeq annotates it as small nucleolar RNA SNORA17. The transcript has a single exon. The record is from RefSeq and is a predicted model, not a curated record. NCBI's taxonomy places the organism in Eukaryota, Metazoa, Chordata, Mammalia, Rodentia, Muridae.